RNAcentral lists this small RNA (78 nucleotides) under Serratia symbiotica. RNAcentral's name for it is "Putative tpke11 small RNA". It matches the Rfam family "tpke11". From Rfam's summary of the family: In Yersinia located in ICR upstream dnaJ (chaperone)gene. Has temperature responsive RNA structure. The record is from RNAcentral. Lineage: Bacteria; Pseudomonadati; Pseudomonadota; Gammaproteobacteria; Enterobacterales; Yersiniaceae.
AGCUGUUACUGGAAACCAGCACGGGUGUUGAGAAAAAACUCUACGCCCGUGAAGUAUAUUCAGGGUAAUAAAAGAAUG